RNAcentral lists this ribosomal RNA (237 nucleotides) under uncultured bacterium. RNAcentral describes it as "partial 16S ribosomal RNA". It matches the Rfam family "Bacterial small subunit ribosomal RNA", at positions 100 to 334 of the family's 1533-position model. The record is from RNAcentral.
CCGGCACGGGUGAGUAACACGUAUCCAACCUGCCGUCUACUCUUGGACAGCCUUCUGAAAGGAAGAUUAAUACAAGAUGGCAUCAUGAGUCCGCAUGUUCACAUGAUUAAAGGUAUUCCGGUAGACGAUGGGGAUGCGUUCCAUUAGAUAGUAGGCGGGGUAACGGCCCACCUAGUCUUCGAUGGAUAGGGGUUCUGAGAGGAAGGUCCCCCACAUUGGAACUGAGAAACGGUCCAA